UCACUGUGUUCGCCUACUUGGCUGCGGCGGAGCUCGUGUUUGUCAGCCUUCCUGACCAGGGUACUCAUAAAGUUCGGCUACACACACACACACACACACUUACCGGCUCAGCUGCUGGCGGAAACCGGCAACGGGAAACCGAUGUUCGUCUUCGAAUGAAGAAGACAGAUUACUAGCAGAAGUCUCAGUAGCGUAGAGGAAAAGGUUGAGGGCAGGAAAGCACCCACAACCACUUCUCUCGCCACAUCCACGGCUCGGACGUGAAAGGCGUGCGCGUGUAGUUGCGGGACACGAUUCCUGCAUUCUGCAAGGACACAAGCACACACACACACAGAGAGAGAGAGAAAAGAGCCGAACUGGGUGGUGAGAAAAACGCGCUGUGUCGUCAUCUCCAUUUAGAGCACGGAAUCCACGAGGCAUUCAUAUCUUCUCAUCGAUCCGACCUCUCCCCCUCCCCUACCCCCACCCCGCGAAAAAAAAGGAAUAUACCAUAAUUAAACAG
RNAcentral lists this unclassified non-coding RNA (502 nucleotides) under Leishmania donovani. RNAcentral's name for it is "gene:unknown". The record is from RNAcentral. Lineage: Eukaryota; Euglenozoa; Kinetoplastea; Trypanosomatida; Trypanosomatidae.